This 953-nucleotide non-coding RNA is filed under the name Trachycephalus lepidus. RNAcentral's name for it is "partial 12S ribosomal RNA". It matches the Rfam family "Bacterial small subunit ribosomal RNA". The record is from RNAcentral. Lineage: Eukaryota; Metazoa; Chordata; Amphibia; Anura; Hylidae.
GACCCUAAAAAGUCCUUUAAACACAAAGGUUUGGUCCUAGCCUUGUCAUCAAUUAUUACUUAAUAUACACAUGCAAGUCUCCGCACCCCUGUGAAAACGCCCUUUAAGCCCCACUAGGGACAAGGAGCUGGUAUCAGGCACAAUUCUUAGCCCAAGACACCUAGCUACGCCACACCCACACGGGAAUUCAGCAGUGAUUAACAUUGAACAUGAGCGACAGCUCGACUCAGUUAAAGUAAAAAGAGCCGGCAAAUCUGGUGCCAGCCGCCGCGGUUACACCACGUGGCUCAAAUUGAUCUCUUUCGGCGUAAAGCGUGAUUAAAGUUACAAAAAAUUAUAGCCAAACUAAAACUAAGCUGUGACACGCUUGUGUUUAGGAGAAUCAAAAACGAAAGUUACUAUAAUUACUACAACUUGAACCCACGACAGUUGGGACACAAACUGGGAUUAGAUACCCCACUAUGCCCAACCGUAAACUUUAAAUUACAUCCUCAUCGCCCGGGAACUACGAGCAACGCUUAAAACCCAAAGGACUUGACGGUACCCCACAUCCACCUAGAGGAGCCUGUCCUGUAAUCGAUAACCCCCGUUUAACCUCACCAUUUUUAGCCAAUCAGCCUGUAUACCUCCGUCGUCAGCUUACCACGUGAGCGAUUAUAAGUGAGCUUAAUGCCCGUACGCCAACACGUCAGGUCAAGGUGCAGCAAAUAAAAUGGAAAGAGAUGGGCUACACUCUCUAACCUAGAAAACACGAAAGACUAUUUAUGAAACCUAGUCUGAAGGCGGAUUUAGUAGUAAAAAGAGACAAGAGUGCUCUUUUUAACACGGCACUGGGGUGUGUACACACCGCCCGUCACCCUCUUCAAAGCUAAUAAUAAGUUCUUAACACACUAAGGCAUUAUAGAAGAGGCAAGUCGUAACAUGGUAAGUAUACCGGAAGGUGUGCUUGGAAA